UACAUAGGGGGCAAGCGUUAUCCGGAAUUAUUGGGUGUAAAGGGUGCGUAGACGGAGAAACAAGUUGGUUGUGAAAUCCCUCGGCUCAACCGAGGAACUGCAACCAAAACUAUUUCCCUUGAGUGUCGGAGAGGAAAGUGGAAUUCCUAGUGUAGCGGUGAAAUGCGUAGGUAUUAGGAGGAACACCAGUGGCGAAGGCGACUUUCUGGACGAUAACUGACGUUGAGGCACGAAAGUGUGGGGAGCAAACAGG
This 253-nucleotide ribosomal RNA is filed under the name uncultured bacterium. RNAcentral describes it as "partial 16S ribosomal RNA". It matches the Rfam family "Bacterial small subunit ribosomal RNA", at positions 524 to 776 of the family's 1533-position model. The record is from RNAcentral.